GAUGAACGCUAGCGGCAGGCUUAACACAUGCAAGUCGAGGGGUAUAGUUCUUCGGAACUAGAGACCGGCGCACGGGUGCGUAACGCGUAUACAAUCUACCUUUUACAGAGGGAUAGCCCAGAGAAAUUUGGAUUAAUACCUCAUAGUAUUUUCGAAUCGCAUAGUUUGAUUAUUAAAGUUCCAACGGUAAAAGAUGAGUAUGCGUCCCAUUAGCUAGAUGGUAAGGUAACGGCUUACCAUGGCAAUGAUGGGUAGGGGUCCUGAGAGGGAGAUCCCCCCACACUGGUACUGAGACACGGACCAGACUCCUACGGGAGGCAGCAGUGAGGAAUAUUGGACAAUGGGCGCAAGCCUGAUCCAGCCAUGCCGCGUGCAGGAAGACGGUCCUAUGGAUUGUAAACUGCUUUUAUACAGGAAGAAACCCUCCCACGUGUGGGAGCUUGACGGUACUGUAGGAAUAAGGAUCGGCUAAACUCCGUGCCAGCAGCC
RNAcentral lists this ribosomal RNA (489 nucleotides) under uncultured bacterium. RNAcentral's name for it is "bacterial SSU rRNA". It matches the Rfam family "Bacterial small subunit ribosomal RNA", at positions 28 to 516 of the family's 1533-position model. The record is from RNAcentral.